GACGAACGCUGGCGGCGUGCUUAACACAUGCAAGUCGAACGGAAAGGCCCUGCUUUUGUGGGGUGCUCGAGUGGCGAACGGGUGAGUAACACGUGAGUAACCUGCCCUUGUCUUUGUGAUAACUUCAGGAAACUGGGGCUAAUACCGGAUAGGAGCUCCUGCUGCAUGGGGGUGGUUGGAAAGUUUCGGCGGUUGGGGAUGGACUCGCGGCUUAUCAGCUUGUUGGUGGGGUAGUGGCUUACCAAGGCUUUGACGGGUAGCCGGCCUGAGAGGGUGACCGGCGACAUUGGGACUGAGAUACGGCGCAGACGCCUACGGGAGGCAGCAGUGGGGAAUAUUGCACAAUGGGCGGAAGCCUGAUGCAGCAACGCCGCGUGCGGGAUGACGGCCUUCGGGUUGUAAACCGCUUUCGCCUGUGACGAAGCGUGAGUGACGGUAAUGGGUAAAGAAGCACCGGCUAACUACGUG
This 468-nucleotide ribosomal RNA is filed under the name uncultured bacterium. RNAcentral's name for it is "partial 16S ribosomal RNA". It matches the Rfam family "Bacterial small subunit ribosomal RNA", at positions 28 to 507 of the family's 1533-position model. The record is from RNAcentral.